RNAcentral lists this ribosomal RNA (432 nucleotides) under uncultured bacterium. RNAcentral describes it as "partial 16S ribosomal RNA". It matches the Rfam family "Bacterial small subunit ribosomal RNA", at positions 29 to 507 of the family's 1533-position model. The record is from RNAcentral.
AACGAACGCUGGCGGCAUGCCUAACACAUGCAAGUCGAACGAGACCUUCGGGUCUAGUGGCGCACGGGUGCGUAACGCGUGGGAACCUGCCCUUAGGUUCGGAAUAACUCCCCGAAAGGGGUGCUAAUACCGGAUAAUGUCUCGGACCAAAGAUUUAUCGCCUUUGGAUGGGCCCGCGUUGGAUUAGCUAGUUGGUAGGGUAAAAGCCUACCAAGGCGACGAUCCAUAGCUGGUCUGAGAGGAUGAUCAGCCACACUGGGACUGAGACACGGCCCAGACUCCUACGGGAGGCAGCAGUGGGGAAUAUUGGACAAUGGGCGAAAGCCUGAUCCAGCAAUGCCGCGUGAGUGAUGAAGGCCUUAGGGUUGUAAAGCUCUUUUACCCGGGAUGAUAAUGACAGUACCGGGAGAAUAAGCGCCGGCUAACUCCGUG